Molecule: unclassified non-coding RNA, 391 nt
Filed under: soil metagenome
Description: partial contains 5.8S ribosomal RNA, internal transcribed spacer 2, and large subunit ribosomal RNA
Rfam family: 5.8S ribosomal RNA (bases 1-122)
Source: RNAcentral
GAUGAAGAACGCAGCGAAAUGCGAUACUUGGUGUGAAUUGCAGAAUCCCGUGAACCAUCGAGUCUUUGAACGCAAGUUGCGCCGGAAGCCAUUAGGCCGAGGGCACGCCUGCCUGGGCGUCACACGUCGUUGCCCCCCCAUCUACUCCUUCGGGAUUGCGGGGGGCGGAUGAUGGCCUCCCGUGCGCCUCGUCGCGCGGUUGGCCUAAAUGCCAAGUCCUCGGCGACGCACGCCACGACAAUCGGUGGUUGCGAAACCUCGGUUGCCUGUCGUGUGCGGUCGUCGCGCAUCGAGGGCUCGAAAAAAUUGCCGGGCUUCGGCUCGACUUUCAACGCGACCCCAGGUCAGGCGGGGUUACCCGCUGAAUUUAAGCAUAUCAAUAAGCGGAGGA